UGCUGCUUCCUGCAUUCUUCUCGAUGAAACCUUCAGCUACCCACUUCCAUAUCAAUCUAUGCUUCUCGAUCUCAUAAUCUUCUGGAUACACACUUAGGUACAAUAAGCAAGUUUUUAGAUACGAAGGUAGGUCAUAAUAGCUCAGAGACAGUAUCCACACGGUGUCGUCUACUUGUUCGUUGGUAUCUUUACCGCGAUAGAAACCAGAAAUCUUCGUAGUUCGCCAGCCAACAGCUGUAGGUCCUUCACUUCACGAAUGGCAUUGUAUUUUUGUUCGUCGAGAUGGAAGAAGAUGCUGGUAAAGACUUGCACCAGGUCAGGUUUUCGGCCAACCGAAACAAAUGCUCCAUGAUCAUAUCGCGGUUUGAGCUCAUCGUAGACGGCCUUGGCUAGAGUGGUCUUUCCAAGGCCACCAGCUCCGACCACAGAAACUAUCUUCAUCUUGUCACCGUCGCUGGCAGAGACAUCGACGUCGUCCUCAGGGCAGCGGGAUGACGACAGCGGCAGAAGCAUGGCCAUGAGCUCAGCCUUGGUCUUGUCGAUGCCGACGAGCUGUGCCGCUUCCCUGUGCAUGUACACGAGGCGAGGAUCCAGCGUCCUCACCGGCGCUGGCGCUGCCACCGGAACGGCGUACCUGUCGCGGCGGAGACGACGACCUUUGCCCAGGCCAUCAGCCGGGGCGCCGUCGACGAGGAAGGUGUCGAGGAUGUCCUCCAUGUCGUACGACGCUUCCCUGACCUCACGAGCCCAGAGCCGAACCUGUGGAUCAAGCUGCUCCGGCGGCACCUCCGACACGGUGCGGAGAGCCGCGUGCGCGCUCUCGAGCUCAUUUUUCAGAGAUUCGAUUUGCUCUAGCAGGCCCGCCUGUAGCUUGUACUCUGCCUGGAGCAGCUCGCCGAGCUUGCGGAUGAUGCUGCCCACGGCGCCGGCCACAAGAUCCAUGGCGACGAAGCCGCGGAGCUAGCCCUACAGUAGCAGCCUUGAUCUCGAGAUGAAUUAUUAGCUAGCUGCUGGAGUGCUGGGCGGAGGACGGCGUCAGCGAACCGGGAUGUGGCAAGGGACGGGGGGAGGGCGGCGGCCGUGGAAGCUGGGCGACCUGCUCGAGAGCCGACACUGGGAGUGUGUUAUAUUACCACUGAGUGCUGCCGUAGUAUUUCCUCCGUUUCGUUUUACGUAGCGGACGAAUCGAUGCCAUCCACCGCUCUCUCUUUCCAGCCGUCCAUAAAGCCAGGAAAGCGCCAAACGCACUCGGGCGUGAGGACGGAUGCUUUGAAGUUUUAAGACUGUUUCUAGUAGCGUCUUCUAAUAAAAAAAAAUAUUCCUCGUUGGCAUCAAAAAAUUCGUCUCCUAUAUCCUUCUUGUCUUCAAGAAUAUCCUCUAAAAUUCAUUCUAUAUAUCUCAUCCUCUCUAAUAUACCAACUUAAUUAACAAAAUAUAUUAUUUUACUAAACAACAACUACUAACUAAACAGAGGUUUAGCUUCGAUAUGUCAGCAUCAACUACCCGGCACCAUAAACGCUAAACUGUAAAUAGUUGGGUCAUCUUUUGUUUAGCGUGUAAUCGAGACGUUUAAAUGGAUUGGAUUAUACCGGAUUAAACAACGUUAACCGUCUAAACGGUUAGUUACUGAGUAGCAUUUAAACGGUGUUCAAAAUGUCUAAACAACCGUUUAGGAUACCAGUCAUGAAUUAGCAAUUAGUAAAAAAAAUAUAUAACACAAACCAUGAACCAUCGUUUUCAAUUGACAGCGAUAGCAGGUUCUAGACACUGGCUCAGGGCUUCGUCAAACACUAAUCGCGCGUCGUGCUCAAAGGCUCCAGCAGGUGGCCCAGAUGUAACACCCAAAGUUCUUAAUUUGAAGAUUAAAUAAAAAGAUCACCAAUAAUUUAUUUAAAUUGGAGUGCUUUCUAUGUGGAUUACACAUUUAUAUUAUUUUUCUAAACUAAAUAUUUGGGUAAAUAUAAAAUUAUGUUUGUGCACCGCAUGUUUUGGAGCAUUGUUUUUUAUUGUUGGAAUUCAAAUUUGAAUUUAAAUUAUUUGGCUGGAAUUUGGAUUUGAAUCUGAAAAUGAAAAUGAAAAGGAAGAGGGGCUGCUCGAGAAGAAGUUGGCCGCUGCUUCACCCGCACGCGCCGCUGCGGCAGGAUUGCUAGCGCGGAUGCGACAGAGCCAUGCCGAGCGCGCCGGGCAGCGAGACUUCGGCGGGCGGGCGUUGGUUGGAGAUGUGCUGCAGGCGCUGCUCGAGGAAGAAGACGGCGGCGGUCGACCGUGAUCUGGUACGAGCAGGAGAUCCCUUCGAGCAAGCAGCGGCGUUUUCUUCGAUUUGGGGGAAAAAAAAGAAACUAGUCCCACAUGUCAGGACCUGGGUCCCCUCUGUCAGAUAUCUAACGGACGGAAUGGGUCCAUAUGGCUGAUUUCUGAGCACAACACAACGGUGGAAGGGAAAAUCUAAGGAGAGAAUUGAGGUAGGGGUAGAACUAAGCAAAAUGUACAGACUAGUGGGAGAGGAGUGUAAAAAACCCUUGAGAAAUAUGGCACUGUUCUUCUCGGGUGGUGACAUGAAGGACCUGAAGCUUCGGGUGACUGGGGGAUCUAGAAAGAGCAGACGAACCCGGAUGGAGCCUGCAUUCCUAACCUGUGCAGCUGAGCAAGGGAGACGAUUGAAAGAAGAAAGAAAGAAAAUAUUGUGCUAUGUGGCUUGCUUUUUUUCAAA
Molecule: long non-coding RNA, 2710 nt
Organism: Zea mays
Lineage: Eukaryota; Viridiplantae; Streptophyta; Magnoliopsida; Poales; Poaceae
Exons: 3
Source: RefSeq, a predicted model, not a curated record